RNAcentral lists this ribosomal RNA (491 nucleotides) under uncultured bacterium. RNAcentral describes it as "partial 16S ribosomal RNA". It matches the Rfam family "Bacterial small subunit ribosomal RNA", at positions 29 to 507 of the family's 1533-position model. The record is from RNAcentral.
AGUGAACGCUGGCGGCAGGCCUAAUACAUGCAAGUCGAACGACAGCACAGUAAGCGUUCGCCCCUACGGGUGGCGAGUGGCGGACGGGUGAGGAAUACAUAGGAAACUAAUUUUACGUGGGGAUAAUGUAGGGAAACUUACUCUAAUACCGUAACAGAUCUACGGGCGAAAGCAGGGGAUGUUCGAACCUCGUGCGAUUGAUUGAGCCGGUGUCGGAUUAGCUAGUUGGAGGGGUAAAGGCCAACCAAGGCAACGAUCCGUAGCCGGUCUGAGAGGAUGAUCGGCCACACUGGAACUGAGACACGGUCCAGACUCCUACGGGAGGCAGCAGUAGGGAAUAUUGGGCAAUGGGCGCAAGCCUGACCCAGCCAUGCCGCGUGAGUGAAGAAGGCCUUCGGAUUGUAAAGCCCUUUUAUUAGGAAAGAAAAACAGCAGAAUUAUACCCCGCUGUUCUGACGGUACCCAAAGAGUAAGCACCGGCUAACUACGUG